CCUACGGGUGGCAGCAGUCGAGAAUCAUUCACAAUGGGGGAAACCCUGAUGGUGCGACGCCGCGUGGGGGAAUGCAGGUCUUCGGAUUGUAAACCCCUGUCAUGUGGGAGCAAAUUAAAAAGAUAGUACCACAAGAGGAAGAGACGGCUAACUCUGUGCCAGCAGCCGCGGUCAUACAGAGGUCUCAAGCGUUGUUCGGAUUCACUGGGCGUAAAGCGUGCGUAGGCUGUUUCGUAAGUCUGGUGUGAAAGGCGAGGGCUCAACCCGCGUACGGAAAAUGAUACUGCGAGACUAGAGUAAUGGAGGGGGAGCCGGAAUUCUGGGUGUAGCAGUGAAAUGCGUAGAUAUCGAGAGGAACACUCGUGGCGAAGGCGGGUUCCUGGACAUUAACUGACGCUGAGGCACGAAGGUCAGGGGAGCGAAAGGGAUUAGAUACCCGAGUAGUC
Molecule: ribosomal RNA, 446 nt
Filed under: uncultured bacterium
Lineage: Bacteria
Description: partial 16S ribosomal RNA
Rfam family: Bacterial small subunit ribosomal RNA
Source: RNAcentral